Molecule: ribosomal RNA, 275 nt
Filed under: Triticum aestivum (bread wheat)
Lineage: Eukaryota; Viridiplantae; Streptophyta; Magnoliopsida; Poales; Poaceae
Description: partial small subunit ribosomal RNA
Source: RNAcentral
CUCGAUAGUGUGGUCCAUUCGCCUACCUCUGAAAAUCCGGAUCUUCAUGUGGCAAUGGAUUCGCGGUCGGGUUCCGUCCGGGGUUGAGGUCUGCAAACGAAAUGGCCCGGGCUCGGGCAUCUGCCCCCUCUGCGGUGUCCCCGAAGACUCGAAUCACAUCUUCUUCUCCUGCGUGUCCGCUCAGUUCGUUUGGAGCUGCUUUCGGGAAGUGGUUGGUGGCGAUUGGUGCCACAACAACUUCCCCGACUUAUUUGCCGAACUCCAGAACUCCCCCG